This is a small nuclear RNA of Loxodonta africana (African savanna elephant), 104 nucleotides long. NCBI's taxonomy places the organism in Eukaryota, Metazoa, Chordata, Mammalia, Proboscidea, Elephantidae. The record is from Ensembl.
UCACUUCAGCAGCAAAUAUACUAAAAUUGAAACAAUACAGAGAAGAUUAGUAUGGCCCUUGAAUUAAGGAUGGUAUGCAAAUUUGUGAAGUGUUCCAUAUUUUU